This 427-nucleotide ribosomal RNA is filed under the name uncultured soil bacterium. RNAcentral describes it as "bacterial SSU rRNA". It matches the Rfam family "Bacterial small subunit ribosomal RNA", at positions 355 to 774 of the family's 1533-position model. The record is from RNAcentral.
UAGGGAAUCUUCCGCAAUGGACGAAAGUCUGACGGAGCAACGCCGCGUGAACGAUGAAGGCCUUCGGGUCGUAAAGUUCUGUUGUUAGGGAAGAACAAGUAUCGGAGUAACUGCCGGUACCUUGACGGUACCUAACCAGAAAGCCACGGCUAACUACGUGCCAGCAGCCGCGGUAAUACGUAGGUGGCAAGCGUUGUCCGGAAUUAUUGGGCGUAAAGCGCGCGCAGGCGGUCCUUUAAGUCUGAUGUGAAAGCCCACGGCUCAACCGUGGAGGGUCAUUGGAAACUGGGGGACUUGAGUACAGAAGAGGAAAGCGGAAUUCCACGUGUAGCGGUGAAAUGCGUAGAGAUGUGGAGGAACACCAGUGGCGAAGGCGGCUUUCUGGUCUGUAACUGACGCUGAGGCGCGAAAGCGUGGGGAGCAAACA